UGCUGCUGCCGUGAGAGUUGUAAACGAGAGAGAAAGGUAUGAAAACCUGCUCGUCUUGCACAAGAAACUAAUAAAUUACUUAGUCGAUUAUAUAAAUUGAUUGAAAUUCCAUUUUAGGAGAACCGUCGAAGACGCACUUUUAAUUGUCCUGUCUUCUCCUAAUGAAGCCGCCUUUUUGGUCAGGUCUUAUUUGAUGCCUGGAAAAUGUGAAGCUCCAGCCCUGGUGUCCAACGAAGCUGACCAGCGAUCCAGUUGAUGGUGAACCUCACAGUGGAACUUUGAGCCACCACCACACCAUUCAGUGGAUUCUGUGGUAGGAUUGUGUUAGUCCCACUGACCGACACCAACAAGAGUCUACUUGGAUACUUUUCCUUGACUUUGACUACUCCCUUGACUGAUUGACUUGAACUCUGAUUGGAUCCACAAUGAACCGGUUCCACCGGAAUACUUCAAAUGGAUAUUUUAUGGUUUUUUUCUCAGUUUAUUGGGCCCAUAGGUACUGUAUUGCUAUGAUAUUGUGUACUGUUUAAAUAGCUUUCUAAAACUAAAAGUUCACAAUAACAACAUGUACCUGUGUCCAGUGGUUAUUGCUAUUACUCCUAGCUCCUACGAACCUGGGUAGCGACAUGUACAUACUCAGAAGUGGGUUACAUGGGGAAUAAUCUCAGGGAGGAAGUGAAUAUUAUCUCAAUCCCCGUUAGCUGCAACAAGUGACCUGCUCUCCUCGCAUAUUUCUGUUACUCACUGUCGUAGGUCAGUCUGGAUCUCAUCACAUGGAUCCACUGUUUUCAUUUCCUCUGUCGCUUCGUCUGGAAUGAUGAUGGAGUCUUCUGCAGUUUGGGGUUUCAGAUAUUUCUUGCACUUUUCUGAUGCAAGAGGGAGUGCAGAACUGUUGAAGCCCUCUGCCUCUCUGAGGGCGACAACAGUGAUAGCACCUAAGAUCUGUUUUGCGUGGUCCAAGGAUUGUGACUGAAGAAGCUGUGCUAAUGACCUGACAAAGAAAUCGUUGACUCGGUGUGUUUAGUUUUUCAUGCAGUCCCACUGGCAGAUCAUCUUGAUGCAGUGUGCAGCAUCAACCCUGACCAAACAAGGGGUUGUUUUGCAGACUGGUUCCCACGUAAGCCAUUAAAGCAUUCGUUAAUGUAGGUCUUCAGAUCAGGACGAGGAGUGAAAGCCUUGACCAAAGCUCCAAGAAUGGCCAGAGAAAAAUCACUCACAGCUUCCUUUGGAACAGCUGCAUCUGCACAAAUCCAUUCUGUCAAUCAAUUUGCAAUGGCAUUCACAUCAUGUCUCUCUGACAGCAUUUGCACCACUGGGGCACUGAAGCAGUUGUGUACUGUCAGAACACCUUGAUACAAGAAGAUAUGGCCAGAUGUACCAUUUGGUCUCACCAGUUUUCUCACUACUGAGCCAGUUGCAUCAAAACACACUGUUGGGUGAGAUGUCUUGGACAAUGUGUUGUAUAUAUGCAGCUGAGUUUGACUCCAGUGACAGAAAAACUUAUCCAGUCCAAUGUCUCAAAUGCUGCCACUGUGAGGUGCACUAUAUUUUAAUAACUGCAAAGAUACAAUAGGAUCUUUGUCCCCAAAUUCCAGAUCUUGUCUCUCUUGUUUGGCUUUCAGCAGGGUGGCCAAAUUAGGUAGGUGGCUUGGCUCAGGACUACCAACAUCCAUUAGAUCUGCUGCCUUUGCUGACCUCCAUACAGCUGGUUCCAUCGUGCCCUCACACAAUCUUCUCACACGGGUCUUCCAGACAUGAACUGCUUGGACAGGCCAGUGUGCAGGGAGAUAUCUGUAUUUUUAUGUAACAUUGGAGCAUCACUGGGCUUUUAAUUGCUACCUCUCUGUCACAUGUCAUUUCAAAAUGGCCAUGACACUCCUUACAGUCUACACUUCUUGCUUUUCUAUAUAAUCAUGCACCAUUUCACAAAAAAACAAAGAUUAGAGCAAAACCAAGAGUGGAUCUCUGAUUUAUUUGCCGUUUUAACAUAUAAAACUGAAUAAAAAGUGGUUUAAACCUGCUGCUGACACACUAAUGCUUCACUAUUGAUAAUCUAAAGAUGUUAUAUAUAAUAAUAGGGACCAAAUCAGAACUUUUACUUUAAUACUUCAACUAUAUUUGGCUACAUAUACCCACAUACUUUUAUUUAAGUAGGAUUUUUCAUACAGGACUAUUUCUUAGAUUAGAGUACUGGUGCUUUUAUUGCACCACUGGCUGCAGGCAGAAAAGGUCGACUGAUAAGGAGCGUCAAAGGCUGGCUAAAGGUUAAUCAGUUUGACCUUAACUGUAGUUAAUGUUCGAUUUAAUCUUUGUAUUAAUCACAUGUGACCUGAGAUAAGUGGCUCUCGGUUGUUUCUGCAGCACUGACCUGAUGACUGUGGGGUAAAGCUCAGUCGUGUAGAGGAAGAUGGUGGUGAAGGCAGCUUCUGAGAAGCCUUUUCCCAGGACGGCGAACACGGCACGAACCUGCCACAGGUCUGAGGAGAGGACAGAGGAUAAAUGGUGUAUUAGCUCAGUGUUAAACAUGCAGAAACCCUGGAACAAAAAGGGAAAAUACAGAUUAAUUUGGUGGUCUAAACUUUGUGGUGAAUGAAAGCUUGAUCAGGACCGGACAGAAAACAGAUGUUUCCUAACAGCAGUUGUGACUCACCUGGUAGGAUGUGAUUGUUCGGACUAUUUUUAGACUGAUAAUGGGUGAAUCAGCCCACAAGGACAAAAGUAGACGCAAUUUAUAUUUUAUAAAUGUUCAGUGAGACAGUUUCACACAAGCCCGCAUGAAAAGAAAAACGUCAUGAUUUCAAAUUCUUUCAAGAAUCAAGAAUUUUUAUUGUCACACAGCGAAAUUUCGAUUGGUGACUCCCAGCUAUAGAUAAAAAAAAUAAAAAAUGGCACACUAUAUACAAGUAAAAUAAAAGAAUAUUUUUUUUUUAAAAAUCCUCAAAAAUAUAAAUAUGUAAACAGGGUUAGUGCACAUGAGCAGUAGGCAGAACUUAACCCUACAGAUACUUUUUUAAAUUGUUUUUGCUUUUUUACUUUUUUUUGUUGCUCCUGUCACAUUUUCACUUAUUAUGGCCUCAAUUUUCUCUGCAAUAUAAUUUUUUGCACCUCUAUGGAAACAGAACAACCAUGAAGAAAGAAAACUCAGAAAUGUCUUAUGCAGCAUAAACAAGUUAUAAGGCAUCAAAAGCUCACAUAAGUAAAAUUUCUUUGACUAUUUCUUUUUUUUUUUUUUUUUUUAAAGAAAAAACCCUGAAACUACAUGCACAACAUUUUUCCAAGCAUCCACAAACAUUACUAACAUUAGGGAAUAAAUUGUCUCUACAUAUUAUAGAUGUUUUACUCAUAUUUCAAAUUACAUUUUUUUUUACAUCUAUCUGCUAUCUGUUAUGCUGAAAAGUUGCUGAAUUUUUGUCAUGUGACUGUUGGUCACAGUUAAAUAACUAAUGGUUUCACAAUUG
Amphiprion ocellaris (clown anemonefish) is the source of this 3458-nucleotide long non-coding RNA. RefSeq lists it as uncharacterized. NCBI's taxonomy places the organism in Eukaryota, Metazoa, Chordata, Actinopteri, Pomacentridae. The record is from RefSeq and is a predicted model, not a curated record. The transcript is spliced from 2 exons.